Molecule: long non-coding RNA, 461 nt
Organism: Oncorhynchus gorbuscha (pink salmon)
Lineage: Eukaryota; Metazoa; Chordata; Actinopteri; Salmoniformes; Salmonidae
Exons: 3
Source: RefSeq, a predicted model, not a curated record
GAAAAAGGCCAGGACAGCAGCCAGCCAGCCACAGCCCGCUCUACUCACUCUGCCGGAAUCUCUCAGGAAUGCUCGAAAAAGCACUCUGAAAUCUCUGUCUCCAGUGGAGUCCGCCUCGCUAAACAAGUCAGCGAGUCUAUAUUCCUGUGCCAACUGGAGACCAGCUUCCCGACUCAACCAGUGUCCUGACUCAAGCAACUCAAAUAAUUAUAGAACUGCUAUGAUGCUGGCUGCGAGACUUGGCGAAGACCAACAACGGCGAGGAGGACUGGCAUAACAUUUACUUGGCGCUAUCUCACCCCACCAUUUGAAAGUUUCAGAAGUGAAAUGAGAAUGGAGCAGCAACUUUCCACAGCAAGCAACAGAAUUAAAAAAAAAAAUAAAUCAAAUCAAAUUUAUUUGUCACAUACACAUGGUUAGCAAAUGUUAAUGCGAGUGUAGCGAAAUGCUUGUGCUUCUAG